This 35-nucleotide ribosomal RNA is filed under the name Scedosporium apiospermum. RNAcentral's name for it is "partial 28S ribosomal RNA". The record is from RNAcentral. Lineage: Eukaryota; Fungi; Ascomycota; Sordariomycetes; Microascales; Microascaceae.
GUUUGACCUCGGAUCAGGUAGGGUUACCCGCUGAA